AUUACCGAGUUUACAACUCCCAAACCCCUGUGAACAUACCAUUUGUUGCCUCGGCGGUGCCUGCUUCGGCAGCCCGCCAGAGGACCCAAACCCUUGAUUUUAUACAGUAUCUUCUGAGUAAAUGAUUAAAUAAAUCAAAACUUUCAACAACGGAUCUCUUGGUUCUGGCAUCGAUGAAGAACGCAGCGAAAUGCGAUAAGUAAUGUGAAUUGCAGAAUUCAGUGAAUCAUCGAAUCUUUGAACGCACAUUGCGCCCGCCAGUAUUCUGGCGGGCAUGCCUGUUCGAGCGUCAUUUCAACCCUCAAGCCCCCGGGCUUGGUGUUGGAGAUCGGCGUGCCCCCCCGGGGCGCGCCGGCUCCCAAAUAUAGUGGCGGUCUCGCUGUAGCUUCCUCUGCGUAGUAGCACACCUCGCACUGGAAAACAGCGUGGCCACGCCGUUAAACCCCCCACUUCUGAAAGGUUGACCUCGGAUCAGGUAGGAAUACCCGCUGAACUUAAGCAUAUCAAUAAGCGGAGGAAAAGAAACCAACAGGGAUUGCCCUAGUAACGGCGAGUGAAGCGGCAACAGCUCAAAUUUGAAAUCUGGCCCUCGGGUCCGAAUUGUAAUUUGUAGAGGAUGCUUUUGGUGAGGUACCUUCCGAGUUCCCUGGAACGGGACGCCAUAGAGGGUGAGAGCCCCGUCUGGUUGGAUACCGAUCCUCUGUAAAGCUCCUUCGACGAGUCGAGUAGUUUGGGAAUGCUGCUCUAAAUGGGAGGUAUAUGUCUUCUAAAGCUAAAUAUUGGCCAGAGACCGAUAGCGCACAAGUAGAGUGAUCGAAAGAUGAAAAGCACUUUGAAAAGAGAGUUAAAAAGUACGUGAAAUUGUUGAAA
RNAcentral lists this ribosomal RNA (870 nucleotides) under Ilyonectria sp. nwa_besc_196e1. RNAcentral describes it as "eukaryotic LSU rRNA". The stretch from base 462 to 870 matches the Rfam family "Eukaryotic large subunit ribosomal RNA", at positions 1 to 413 of the family's 3401-position model. Lineage: Eukaryota; Fungi; Ascomycota; Sordariomycetes; Hypocreales; Nectriaceae. The record is from RNAcentral.